AAAACUUUUCGCUAAUAGAAGAGCCUAUGUAGGAUUAGGUAGUUGGUAUUUUGGGUAAAAGCCUACCAAGCCUAAGAUCCUUAGCUGUUCUGAGAGGUUGAACAGCCACACUGGGACUGAAACAAGGCCCAGGCUCCAUUUGGAGCCAGCAGUGAGGAAUUUUGGACAAUGAGCGAAAGCUUGAUCCAGCAAUACUACAUGAGUGAAGAAGGCUUUCAAGUUGUAACACUCUUUGGUUGAGGAGGAUAAUGACAGUACUCAACAAAAUAGCCCCGGCUAACUUCGUGCCAGCAGCCGCGGUAAGACGAAGGGGGCGAGCGUUAUCCGGAAUGACUGGGCGUAAAGGGUCCGUAGGCAGCAUUUUUUGUUGGAAGUUAAAUAAAAAAGCUUAACUUUUUUCCGCUUCUAAAACGUAAAUGCUUUGAGUUUGAUAGAAGAUAGCAGAAUUUCACAAGGAGGGGUGAUAUCCAGAGAUCUGUGAAGGAAUAUCAGAUGCGAAGGCGGCUAUCUAGAUCAACACUGACGUUGAGGGACGAAAGCAUGGGGAGCAAACAGGAUUAGAUACCCUGGUAGUCCAUGCCCUAAAAGAUGAGUGUUCGUGCUUAGAGAACUUUAGGCACUUAGUUAACACGUUAAACACUCCGCCUGGGGAGUACGAUCGCAAGGUUGGAACUCAAAGGAAUUGACGGGGGCCUAUACAAGUGGUGGAGCAUGUGGUUUAAUGCGAUAAUACGCGCGAAACCUUACCAGUUCUUGACAUAAAAAGAAAAAGUUUGAAAAAGCAAUUUUAAAGAUUUUUACAGGUGCUGCAUGGCUGUCGUAAGCUCGUGUCGUGAGAUGUUAGGUUAACUCCUUUUAACGGGCGAAACCCCUUUUUUUCGUUGCUACUUAAUUUUAUUUUUAAAGCACUCUAAAAAAACUGCUCCCUUUUUUUAAUUCGGAGAGGAAGGUGGGGAUGACGUCAAGUCCUUAUGGCCCUUAUGAACUGGGCUACACACGUGCUACAAUGGUAAAGACAAUAAGAAGUGAUAGGGUAACCUAAAACCAAUCUUUAAACUUUAUCAAAGUUCGGAUUGUGGACUGCAACUCGUCCAUAUGAAGGUGGAAUCACUAGUAAUCGCACAUCAGCAUGUUGCGGUGAAUUUGUACCUAGGCCUUGUACACACCGCCCGUCACGUGCCGGGAGUUGGC
Molecule: ribosomal RNA, 1191 nt
Filed under: uncultured organism
Description: bacterial SSU rRNA
Rfam family: Bacterial small subunit ribosomal RNA
Source: RNAcentral